GGCAGCGCACUGACCACGCAUCGCGCGCCUUCUUGGUCUCCGGGCAGGCGCAGCAGGGCUUCAACGGCUUCUUCUCCUGCGACUCAGACGGGGCAGGGCUUGCGGCCGCCAGACCCGGCAUGUUUGGCGCCGAAAUCAGCGACUUGCUCAGACACCCUAAACUGUGCCAGCGGCGAUUCGUUCGCAGUCACUUCCGCAGUCGCUUUGAAAAAGGACAGGAAGUCCCGCCUUCCUCAGACCAGUGCUGGGGGGGGAACAACGCGGGGGAGGAAGAGGAAGUUUUUUUUUUUUUUUUUAAGGCGCGUGCGCAGAAGAGGCUCUAGCAUAGCGGGAAUGCCAGGGCCCCUUUUUAGCGCAGGCGCAGAGGCGGUGGAGGGGCUCCAGGAGUCUGAAAGGCAACGUGGGAAGAGCUAGAAAGAUGAGAGCUGAAAGGCAGUUCCAAGAUCCCCCAACCCCACUACUCCCCACGGAUGUAAAGAAUGCAUGAAGAAAUGAUGGAGAAAGGGAAUCUUCUUUAUCCUGAUCCCUGGUUAUUACUGCGGGCAGAACACGAGACCCAAGGGGAAUUGUCUUCCCACAUGGCAAAGCAUAACUGAUCAAAACCAAUAUCAAAAGUUUCUAUUAAACUAAAAGACCCAGAAACCUAAUUUCAUAAAGGUUGUAUAUUAGUUAUUUCUUACUGUAACAAUAUUAUCACAAACCUAGUGGAAUUACAUAUUUAUUAUAUCCAUUUCUAUAGUCAGGAAUUGGCAUGGUACCAUGACUCCUCUGAAUAGGGUCUCACAAGACUGUGGUCAAGAUUUUGGUUGCGAUUGUGGUUUCAUCUGAGGUUCUAUUAGGGAAGGAUAUAUUUCCAGUCUCUUAAGUUGGCAAAAUUCAGUUUCUUGCAGUUGCAGAGCUGAGAUAUUUGGUUUCUUGUUUGUUCUGGGUUGGAGGCCACCCUCAGCUCUGAGAGGCCACCUGCAGUUCCUGCCACAUGGGGAUCCUCAACAUGGCCACUUGCUUCCUCCCAUGAUGUUUGACAUACAGUAUUGGUUAGUGACUUCAAAUGUAUUUGUAGAGGGGGCAGGCAGUUGGCCACUUCAAAUAAUUUAUCUAAUAGAGCAAAAGUCAUUCUGAGGAGGGGAGAUUUUAGCGGAGAACUCAAAAAGGAGCCAACAGUGAGGCAAUGGGGAGUGGGGUGAGAAACAUGUCGGGAAGAAGGAACAGAAAGUGGGGUAUGUAGCUAUAACCACAGACUGAAAAAAAAAAUAGCAUGUAGCACUGUAUUUCAUUUGUUUCUGUUUUCUCCAGCAUCAGUGGGCUGUACAAAUUAUCUCAGA
Molecule: long non-coding RNA, 1322 nt
Organism: Talpa occidentalis (Iberian mole)
Lineage: Eukaryota; Metazoa; Chordata; Mammalia; Eulipotyphla; Talpidae
Exons: 3
Source: RefSeq, a predicted model, not a curated record